Molecule: transfer RNA, 72 nt
Filed under: Acidimicrobiia bacterium
Lineage: Bacteria; Bacillati; Actinomycetota; Acidimicrobiia
Description: tRNA-Gln
Rfam family: tRNA
About the family: Transfer RNA (tRNA) molecules are approximately 80 nucleotides in length. Their secondary structure includes four short double-helical elements and three loops (D, anti-codon, and T loops).
Source: RNAcentral
UCCGGGGUCGUUCAGUAGGUAGGACAACGGAUUUUGGUUCCGUGAACAGGGGUUCGAUUCCUCUCCCCGGAG